AUCAAUAAGCGGAGGAAAAGAAAAUAACAAUGAUACCCUUAGUAGCGGCGAGCGAAGUGGGUAAAGCUCAAGUUUAAAACCUGUUUGUCCUAGACAAACCGGAUUGUAAACUAAGGACGUGCUAUCCAGGCUCUUUGGACCUUCAAGUCCUUUGGAAUAAGGCUUCACAGAGGGUGACAAUCCCGUAGAGGGUCUUGAAAGAGUCUAUUGCGAUGCAUGCUCCAAGAGUCAGGUUGUUUGGGAAUGCAGCCUAAAGUGGGAGGUAAAUCCCUCCUAAAGCUAAAUAUUGGCGAGAGACCGAUAGCAAACAAGUACCGUGAGGGAAAGUUGAAAAGGACUUUGAAAAGAGAGUCAAAAGUACGUGAAAUUGCUUAAAGGGAAGCGUUUGGAGCUAGUUUGGCUAGUCUGUUAUCAGCCUGAGCUUCGGCUUUGGUGUACUAUCAGGCUAUUUGCCGGCCAACUUUCAGGAUUGGAAGGAAAGCUUAGUGCUUUGGAGUCUAAAGAGACCUUUGCGGAAGCCUCUGGUGGAGCGUUGGUCUGCCUUGGCCCUUCUGAACCUAUAGUUGGCUUAAUGGCUCUAAACGGC
This 586-nucleotide ribosomal RNA is filed under the name Rhizomucor pusillus. Its description in RNAcentral is "eukaryotic LSU rRNA". It matches the Rfam family "Eukaryotic large subunit ribosomal RNA", at positions 42 to 648 of the family's 3401-position model. Lineage: Eukaryota; Fungi; Mucoromycota; Mucoromycetes; Mucorales; Lichtheimiaceae. The record is from RNAcentral.